GUCCUCUUGAUUAUAUUUUGAGGUCUGGUCUGCUCACUGACGAAGUUUUAAAGAGCCGCGGUAUUUUGACCGUGCAAAGGUAGCAUAAUCAUUAGUCUCUUAAUUAGGGGCUAGAAUGAAUGGCUUGACGAGAAAUCAUCUGUCUCUUAUUAAAUUAUAGAAUUUAACUUUUAAGUUAAAAGGCUUAAAUUUUUCUUAAAGACGAGAAGACCCUAUAGAGCUUAAUAUUUUAUUUUUAUAUAAUUUUUAGUUAAUCUUUUUAUAUUUAAAGUUAAUAUUUUGUUGGGGUGACAUGAAGAAUAAAUAAACUCUUCUUUCUAAAAUCAUUGAUUUAUGUUUAAUUUGAUCCAUAAUUUAUGAUCAUAAGAUUAAGUUACCUUAGGGAUAACAGCGUAAUUGUUUUUGAGAGCUCAUAUUGACAAAGCAGAUUGCGACCUCGAUGUUGGAUUAAGAAUAAUUUUGGGUGCAGGAGCCCAGUAAUUAGGUCUGUUCGACCUUUAAAUUCUU
This 507-nucleotide ribosomal RNA is filed under the name Fruhstorferiola omei. Its description in RNAcentral is "partial 16S ribosomal RNA". It matches the Rfam family "Archaeal large subunit ribosomal RNA", at positions 1921 to 2666 of the family's 2987-position model. The record is from RNAcentral. Lineage: Eukaryota; Metazoa; Arthropoda; Insecta; Orthoptera; Acrididae.